UACAGAGGGGGCCAGCGUUAUUCGGAAUUACUGGGCGUAAAGGGCGCGUAGGCGGCGUGUCAAGUCAGGCGUGAAAGCCCCGGGCUCAACCUGGGAACCGCGCUUGAGACUGGCAUGCUCGAGUUCGGGAGAGGAUGGUGGAAUUCCCAGUGUAGAGGUGAAAUUCGUAGAUAUUGGGAAGAACACCGAUGGCGAAGGCAGCCAUCUGGACCGACACUGACGCUGAGGCGCGAAAGCGUGGGGAGCAAACAGG
RNAcentral lists this ribosomal RNA (253 nucleotides) under uncultured bacterium. Its description in RNAcentral is "partial 16S ribosomal RNA". It matches the Rfam family "Bacterial small subunit ribosomal RNA", at positions 524 to 776 of the family's 1533-position model. The record is from RNAcentral.